GAUGAACGCUGGCGGCGUGCCUAACACAUGCAAGUCGAACGGAGUCGUUUUGGAAAUCUCUUCGGAGAUGGAAUUCUCGACUUAGUGGCGGACGGGUGAGUAACGCGUGAGCAAUCUGCCUUUAAAAGGGGGAUAACAGUCGGAAACGGCUGCUAAUACCGCAUAAAGCAUUAAAUUCGCAUGUUUUUGAUGCCAAAGGAGCAAUCCGCUUUUAGAUGAGCUCGCGUCUGAUUAGCUAGUUGGCGGGGUAACGGCCCACCAAGGCGACGAUCAGUAGCCGGACUGAGAGGUUGAACGGCCACAUUGGGACUGAGACACGGCCCAGACUCCUACGGGAGGCAGCAGUGGGGAAUAUUGCGCAAUGGGGGAAACUCUGACGCAGCAACGCCGCGUGAUUGAAGAAGGCCUUCGGGUUGUAAAGAUCUUUAAUCAGGGACGAAACAAAUGACGGUACCUGAAGAAUAAGCUCCGGCUAACUACGUG
This 483-nucleotide ribosomal RNA is filed under the name uncultured bacterium. Its description in RNAcentral is "partial 16S ribosomal RNA". It matches the Rfam family "Bacterial small subunit ribosomal RNA", at positions 28 to 507 of the family's 1533-position model. The record is from RNAcentral.